CGGGGGGCAGCAGUAGGGAAUAUUGGUCAAUGGACGAAAGUCUGAACCAGCCAUGCCGCGUGAAGGAUGAAGGCCCUCUGGGUCGUAAACUUCUUUUAUUAGGGAAGAAACCUCGGGAUGCGUCCCGAGCUGACGGUACUUAAUGAAUAAGGAUCGGCUAACUUCGUGCCAGCAGCCGCGGUAAGACGAAGGAUCCAAGCGUUGUCCGGAUUUACUGGGUUUAAAGGGUGCGUAGGCGGAAAAUUAAGUCAGUGGUGAAAGCCCGCAGCUCAACUGUGGAACUGCCAUUGAAACUGGUUUUCUUGAAUAUAGCUGAGGCAGAUGGAAUAUAACAUGUAGCGGUGAAAUGCUUAGAUAUGUUAUAGAACACCGAUUGCGAAGGCAGUCUGCUAAACUAUUAUUGACGCUGAGGCACGAAAGCGUGGGGAGCGAACAGGAUUAGAUACCCGAGU
RNAcentral lists this ribosomal RNA (452 nucleotides) under uncultured Sphingobacteriales bacterium. RNAcentral's name for it is "bacterial SSU rRNA". It matches the Rfam family "Bacterial small subunit ribosomal RNA", at positions 342 to 791 of the family's 1533-position model. Lineage: Bacteria; Pseudomonadati; Bacteroidota; Sphingobacteriia; Sphingobacteriales. The record is from RNAcentral.